GACGAACGCUGGCGGCGUGCUUAACACAUGCAAGUCGAACGGCAGGGCCCUGCUUUUGUGGGGUGCUCGAGUGGCGAACGGGUGCGUGACACGUGAGUAACCUGCCCUUGACUUUGGGAUAACUUCAGGAAGCUGGGGCUACUACCGGAUCGGAGCUCCUGCUGCAUGGUGGGGGUUGGAUAGUUUCGGCGGUUGGGGAUGGAUUCGCGGGUUAUCAGCUUGUUGGUGGGGUAGUGGCUUACCAAGGCUUUGACGGGUAGCCGGCCUGAGAGGGUGAACGGCGACAGUGGGACUGAGAUACGGACCAGACGCGUACGUGAGGCAGUAGGGGGGAAUAUUGCACAAUGGGCGGAAGCCUGAUGCAGCAACGCCGCGGGCGGGAUGACGGCCUGCGGGGUGUAAACCGCUGCCGCCUGUGACGAAGCUGGAGUGACGGUAAUGGGUAAAGAAGCACCGGCUAACUACGUG
RNAcentral lists this ribosomal RNA (468 nucleotides) under uncultured bacterium. RNAcentral's name for it is "partial 16S ribosomal RNA". It matches the Rfam family "Bacterial small subunit ribosomal RNA", at positions 28 to 507 of the family's 1533-position model. The record is from RNAcentral.